GGAGAGAUGGCUGAGUGGUCGAAAGCGCAUCCCUGCUAAGGAUGUAGGGGGGUAACCCCCUCGAGGGUUCGAAUCCCUCUCUCUCCGCCA
This 90-nucleotide transfer RNA is filed under the name Candidatus Kaiserbacteria bacterium. RNAcentral describes it as "tRNA-Ser". It matches the Rfam family "tRNA". Rfam says of the family: Transfer RNA (tRNA) molecules are approximately 80 nucleotides in length. Their secondary structure includes four short double-helical elements and three loops (D, anti-codon, and T loops). Lineage: Bacteria; Candidatus Kaiseribacteriota. The record is from RNAcentral.